Molecule: ribosomal RNA, 253 nt
Filed under: uncultured bacterium
Lineage: Bacteria
Description: partial 16S ribosomal RNA
Rfam family: Bacterial small subunit ribosomal RNA
Source: RNAcentral
UACGUAGGUGACAAGCGUUGUCCGGAUUUACUGGGCGUAAAGAGCGCGCAGGCGGUCGUGCAAGUCGCGUGUGAAAGCCCCCGGCUCAACUGGGGAGGGUCACGCGAUACUGCUCGACUUGAAGGCAGGAGAGGGAAGUGGAAUUCCCGGUGUAGUGGUGAAAUGCGUAGAUAUCGGGAGGAACACCAGUGGCGAAGGCGACCUCCUGGCCUGUUCUUGACGCUGAGGCGCGAAAGCUAGGGUAGCAAACGGG